CAGUCGAACGAAGCACUUUAUUUGAUUUCCUUCGGGACUGAUUAUUUUGUCACUGAGUGGCGGACGGGUGAGUAACGCGUGGGUAACCUGCCUUGUACAGGGGGAUAACAGUUGGAAACGGCUGCUAAUACCGCAUAAGCGCACAGCAUCGCAUGAUGCAGUGUGAAAAACUCCGGUGGUAUAAGAUGGACCCGCGUUGGAUUAGCUAGUUGGUGAGGUAACGGCCCACCAAGGCGACGAUCCAUAGCCGACCUGAGAGGGUGACCGGCCACAUUGGGACUGAGACACGGCCCAAACUCCUACGGGAGGCAGCAGUGGGGAAUAUUGCACAAUGGGCGAAAGCCUGAUGCAGCGACGCCGCGUGAGCGAAGAAGUAUUUCGGUAUGUAAAGCUCUAUCAGCAGGGAAGAUAAUGACGGUACCUGACUAAGAAGCACCGGCUAAAUACGUGCCAGCAGCCGCGGUAAUACGUAUGGUGCAAGCGUUAUCCGGAUUUACUGGGUGUAAAGGGAGCGCAGGCGGUGCGGCAAGUCUGAUGUGAAAGCCCGGGGCUCAACCCCGGUACUGCAUUGGAAACUGUCGUACUAGAGUGUCGGAGGGGUAAGCGGAAUUCCUAGUGUAGCGGUGAAAUGCGUAGAUAUUAGGAGGAACACCAGUGGCGAAGGCGGCUUACUGGACGAUAACUGACGCUGAGGCUCGAAAGCGUGGGGAGCAAACAGGAUUAGAUACCCUGGUAGUCCACGCCGUGAACGAUGAAUACUAGGUGUUGG
RNAcentral lists this ribosomal RNA (769 nucleotides) under uncultured bacterium. RNAcentral describes it as "bacterial SSU rRNA". It matches the Rfam family "Bacterial small subunit ribosomal RNA", at positions 59 to 826 of the family's 1533-position model. The record is from RNAcentral.